Long non-coding RNA from Schistocerca americana (American grasshopper), 1428 nucleotides. RefSeq lists it as uncharacterized. The transcript is spliced from 4 exons. The record is from RefSeq and is a predicted model, not a curated record. Lineage: Eukaryota; Metazoa; Arthropoda; Insecta; Orthoptera; Acrididae.
GGCUGGCUCGCGCUGCGCCCUGCCGCCACGCGACGCGACGCGCUCUGUCCUCUGUCUGCAUCCACUGUGCGCCCGUCUCGUCCACUGUGCGCCCCGUGUGUGUUCGUGCGACGCCGUGCGACGCUCCUCGCGAAGCAUUUCUUCCUACCGACAGAACGUGCAAUCGAAUCGGCACUGCAACCCUUUAGUUCGAGCAGCAAGGUCUCCCGCUCACCGUUUGUGUCAGAUGCCAAUAUCGAAGCAGAAGUGACUGCCGCCGCAAAGUACCAACAAAACCAAUAACUCCCUUCAGCGAUGGAAAAGAAACAGGAGAAUCAAACGACGCGGGCUGCUGACGCCGUUCACAUUCGGUGAUCAUUUUGGGAACAAUCGAACGGCCUCUUUUUCUUUCUGGUGCAUAGCUGGCAGUACCUGAAUGAGAUGAGGCACACGUCAGAGGUUGGUGUGGCGAGUGAAAGUGGUGCGGCAGCAGAAGGGGAGAGAAUAGACAGCCGUGUCGGUGCCAUACGUCGCCUUACAAGGAGAACGCUCUGACGGGCGGCCGUAAAACGGCGGCAGCUGCCACCGCUCCCGUUACAUGCCAUUCGUUCGGUGGCUGUCGCUGAUCGAACCAAAGUAUCCUGCCUUCAGCGUCAGCACAGUUCUCAAUACACCACUACCUACUCACAAAACUUGAAGAACUGCCAUAUGAUACUAGUUUGUAGCUUGUCAAACGCUACUUUCUAUAGAGGAGACCAGGGCUAGUUGUCAUAGAUUUUGAGUUCUGAUAUUUCUAUUUUUUGUUUUAUUUAUUUAUUUAUUUUUAUUUUUGUGCAAUUCUUGCAGAAAUUCUGGUGAAUGCAGCGCAUAGCUUGGCUUUUUGAGUACACAAUACUAUAGGAAGAACAAAUUCUUCAAAAAGUAAAUUCAUUGUGAAGAAAAUAAUUUUGCUUCAACGCAGUAUGAACUUAAAUGUAUGAACAAACAGUGAAUUGAUCAAGAAAAACAAUUUUUCUGAUUAUUAUUAUAGGUACCAAUAGUUAUUCACACGUAAUUACGAGGGUUGCCCAGAAAGUAAUGCACCGCACUUUUUCCUCAGCCAGAAACAAUGCUACAAAUUCAAAACGUUACGUAUGUAUUGUCUGAAGUGUCCUGAGUGAGCACGCCAAGCUUCCGUCACUUCCGACAGGUAGCGUAGCGGAUGAGCAGUUGCAAAAUGGCGUCUGUAGGUGAUGUAUGUUACAAGCAACGUGCCGUCAUUGAAUUUCUCGCUGCAGAGAGAGAAACUGUGGGGACCCACGGACUUCCACUUAUUUGGACCAUGAAAGGCUGCCAUUCGUAGAAGACAUUUUGAGGACGAUGAGGAGGUGAUUCACACAGUGAAGCACUGGCUCCGCCACCAGGACAAGGACUCGUACCGACAGGGCAUACACACCCUUGUUUCGUGCU